This 253-nucleotide ribosomal RNA is filed under the name uncultured bacterium. Its description in RNAcentral is "partial 16S ribosomal RNA". It matches the Rfam family "Bacterial small subunit ribosomal RNA", at positions 524 to 776 of the family's 1533-position model. The record is from RNAcentral.
UACGUAGGGUGCAAGCGUUAAUCGGAAUUACUGGGCGUAAAGCGUGCGCAGGCGGUCCGCAAAGUCUGAUGUGAAAGCCCCGGGCUCAACCUGGGAAUUGCGCUUGAAACUAGCGAGCUUGAGUGUGGCAGAGGGGGGUGGAAUUCCACGUGUAGCAGUGAAAUGCGUAGAGAUGUGGAGGAACACCGAUGGCGAAGGCAGCCCCCUGGGUCAACACUGACGCUCAUGCACGAAAGCGUGGGGAGCAAACAGG